RNAcentral lists this ribosomal RNA (512 nucleotides) under uncultured bacterium. RNAcentral's name for it is "partial 16S ribosomal RNA". It matches the Rfam family "Bacterial small subunit ribosomal RNA", at positions 28 to 507 of the family's 1533-position model. The record is from RNAcentral.
GAUGAACGCUGGCGGCGUGCCUAAUACAUGCAAGUCGAACGAAACUUCUUUAUCACCGAGUGCUUGCACUCACCGAUAAAGAGUUGAGUGGCGAACGGGUGAGUAACACGUGGGCAACCUGCCCAAAAGAGGGGGAUAACACUUGGAAACAGGUGCUAAUACCGCAUAACCAUAGUUACCGCAUGGUAACUAUGUAAAAGGUGGCUAUACUACCGCCUUUGGAUGGGCCCGCGGCGCAUUAGCUAGUUGGUAGGGUAAAGGCUUACCAAGGCAAUGAUGCGUAGCCGAAUUGAGAGGUUGGUCGGCCACAUUGGGACUGAGACACGGCCCAAACUCCUACGGGAGGCAGCAGUAGGGAAUCUUCCACAAUGGGCGAAAGCCUGAUGGAGCAACGCCGCGUGGGUGAAGAAGGUCUUCGGAUCGUAAAACCCUGUUGUUAGGGAAGAAAGUGCGUGAGAGUAACUGUUCACGUUUCGACGGUAUCUAACCAGAAAGCCACGGCUAACUACGUG